RNAcentral lists this long non-coding RNA (807 nucleotides) under Setaria viridis. Its description in RNAcentral is "long non-coding RNA (SVIR_LNC010185)". The record is from RNAcentral. Lineage: Eukaryota; Viridiplantae; Streptophyta; Magnoliopsida; Poales; Poaceae.
UUGGUGCCUCCUCAUGCCAAGAAAGCUGUUUUUUUAGGGCAAAAGGACCUGUGAGAGGGUCCAGCUCGUUCAUGCUAGGGUUCAUAGGGGUUAAGGUUGGUGCUCUCUCUCGUGUGUAUGUGUGUGUGUGAAAGAAAGAGCACUGACUGAGCCUGAGCACACUGAAAUGUGUGGCCAUUUGGCUACACGAUCUUGACAAAUCUCUUUUGCGGUGGAUUUGAAAGGCUAUGUUUGUAAGGAUGCAUGCAAAGGGGCAGGAGUGCCUUUUGCUUCUCUUACUUUGAGGCCACUACUCCAUCAGCUUGCUGUGUGCGCCCUCUCCUUUUUGUUAGCUAGCCCCUGCUGCCUCUAACAAAAGCUGGCCACCAAAAAGCAACCGAUCGAUAACGAGAGAUCAUAGUUCUAACCGUGGACUCCUACGCACCUAGGGUCGUUAUCUUAAACUCGAUUGAGUAAUAACUACGAAGAUAUCCACGAACAAUCAUAGAAAUCCUUAUGUAUACCCACAUGAGUUGAAACAACAUACUCCAUAUGCAUGAUUCUGGGCUGAAUUGGCAUUUUAAUUUUUCUUUUGUACACGUCAUUUGUUGCGAAGACCAUGCUACUUUUCUUUCUUCAAGAAAUAAUCGAGCAACCCUAUAUAUACUUCAAUUUUUAAAUUUCUGAUCAAUAUGUCCUUUCCCACAAACAUCUCUCUCAACCUCAAGUAGUGCUUUUCUCACAAAUGAUAUUCAAACACUAUCUGGCAUCUAGUCAUCUGUAUAUAUAUGCAUAUUAUAGUAGUAAGUAUUGACAUUUGACCACCAG